UGGUAGAGCCCUGGCCUUCCAAGCCAGUUGCGAGGGUUCGAUUCCCUUCACCCGCU
This is a transfer RNA of Caldisalinibacter kiritimatiensis, 56 nucleotides long. It matches the Rfam family "tRNA", at positions 16 to 71 of the family's 71-position model. Rfam says of the family: Transfer RNA (tRNA) molecules are approximately 80 nucleotides in length. The record is from Rfam. NCBI's taxonomy places the organism in Bacteria, Bacillati, Bacillota, Tissierellia, Tissierellales, Thermohalobacteraceae.